UGCGUAGGCGGGUCUUUAAGUCAGGGGUGAAAUCCUGGAGCUCAACUCCAGAACUGCCCUUGAUACUGAGGAUCUUGAGUUCGGGAGAGGUGAGUGGAACUGCGAGUGUAGAGGUGAAAUUCGUAGAUAUUCGCAAGAACACCAGUGGCGAAGGCGGCUCACUGGCCCGAUACUGACGCUGAGGCACGAAAGCGUGGGGGAGCAAACA
RNAcentral lists this ribosomal RNA (208 nucleotides) under uncultured bacterium. RNAcentral's name for it is "partial 16S ribosomal RNA". It matches the Rfam family "Bacterial small subunit ribosomal RNA", at positions 568 to 774 of the family's 1533-position model. The record is from RNAcentral.